UAGGGAAUCUUCCACAAUGGACGAAAGUCUGAUGGAGCAACGCCGCGUGAGUGAUGAAGGGUUUCGGCUCGUAAAACUCUGUUGUUGGAGAAGAACGGGUGUCAGAGUAACUGUUGACAUCGUGACGGUAUCCAACCAGAAAGCCACGGCUAACUACGUGCCAGCAGCCGCGGUAAUACGUAGGUGGCAAGCGUUGUCCGGAUUUAUUGGGCGUAAAGCGAGCGCAGGGCGGUUUUUUAGGUCUGAUGUGAAAGCCUUCGGCUUAACCGGAGAAGUGCAUCGGAAACCGGGAGACUUGAGUGCAGAAGAGGACAGUGGAACUCCAUGUGUAGCGGUGAAAUGCGUAGAUAUAUGGAAGAACACCAGUGGCGAAGGCGGCUGUCUGGUCUGCAACUGACGCUGAGGCUCGAAAGCAUGGGUAGCGAACAGGAUUAGAUACCCUGGUAGUCCAUGCCGUAAACGAUGAGUGCUAAGUGUUGGA
This 481-nucleotide ribosomal RNA is filed under the name uncultured bacterium. RNAcentral describes it as "partial 16S ribosomal RNA". It matches the Rfam family "Bacterial small subunit ribosomal RNA", at positions 355 to 827 of the family's 1533-position model. The record is from RNAcentral.